GGGCCCGCACAAGCGGUGGAGCAUGUGGUUUAAUUCGAUGAUACGCGAGGAACCUUACCAGGGCUUAAAUGUAGUGGGACAGGUCUAGAGAUAGACCUUUCUUCGGACUCAUUACAAGGUGCUGCAUGGUUGUCGUCAGCUCGUGCCGUGAGGUGUCAGGUUAAGUCCUAUAACGAGCGCAACCCCUAUCGUUAGUUGCCAGCGGGUCAUGCCGGGAACUCUAGCGAAACUGCCGGUGCAAACCGAGAGGAAGGUGGGGAUGACGUCAAAUCAUCACGGCCCUUACGUCCUGGGCCACACACGUGCUACAAUGGCCGGUACAGAGAGCAGCCACUACGCGAGUAGGAGCGAAUCUACAAAACCGGUCUCAGUUCGGAUCGCAGUCUGCAACUCGACUGCGUGAAGCUGGAAUCGCUAG
Molecule: ribosomal RNA, 418 nt
Filed under: uncultured bacterium
Lineage: Bacteria
Description: bacterial SSU rRNA
Rfam family: Bacterial small subunit ribosomal RNA
Source: RNAcentral